RNAcentral lists this ribosomal RNA (530 nucleotides) under uncultured bacterium. RNAcentral describes it as "bacterial SSU rRNA". It matches the Rfam family "Bacterial small subunit ribosomal RNA", at positions 66 to 607 of the family's 1533-position model. The record is from RNAcentral.
ACGAUGACGGUGGUGCUUGCACCGCCUGAUUAGUGGCGAACGGGUGAGCAACACGUGAGUAACCUGCCCUCCACUUCGGGAUAACCUCGGGAAAUCGUGGCUAAUACCGGAUAUGAGCACUCAUCGCAUGGUGGGUGUUGGAAAGAUUUAUCGGUGGGGGAUGGACUCGCGGCCUAUCAGUUUGUUGGUGAGGUGAUGGCUCACCAAGACGAUGACGGGUAGCCGGCCUGAGAGGGCGACCGGCCACACUGGGACUGAGACACGGCCCAGACUCCUACGGGAGGCAGCAGUGGGGAAUAUUGCACAAUGGGCGAAAGCCUGAUGCAGCGACGCCGCGUGGGGGAUGACGGCCUUCGGGUUGUAAACCCCUUUCAGUAGGGAAGAAGCGAGAGUGACGGUACCUGCAGAAGAAGCGCCGGCUAACUACGUGCCAGCAGCCGCGGUAAUACGUAGGGCGCAAGCGUUGUCCGGAAUUAUUGGGCGUAAAGAGCUUGUAGGUGGCUUGUCGCGUCUGCCGUGAAAACCCGAGG